UGCCUGGAAAACUAGUGGUUAGGCCUCGGCGCUCUUACCGCCAUGGUCCGGGUUCGAUUCCUGGCCAGGGAA
Molecule: non-coding RNA, 72 nt
Organism: Pangasianodon gigas (Mekong giant catfish)
Lineage: Eukaryota; Metazoa; Chordata; Actinopteri; Siluriformes; Pangasiidae
Source: the annotation of a GenBank genome assembly